AUUGAACGCUGGCGGCAUGCCUUACACAUGCAAGUCGAACGGUAACAGGUCUUCGGAUGCUGACGAGUGGCGAACGGGUGAGUAAUACAUCGGAACGUGCCUAGUAGUGGGGGAUAACUACUCGAAAGAGUGGCUAAUACCGCAUGAGAUCUACGGAUGAAAGCAGGGGAUCGCAAGACCUUGUGCUACUAGAGCGGCCGAUGGCAGAUUAGGUAGUUGGUGGGAUAAAAGCUUACCAAGCCGACGAUCUGUAGCUGGUCUGAGAGGACGAUCAGCCACAAUGGGACUGAGAAGCGGCCCAGACUCCUACGGGAGGCAGCAGUGGGGAAUUUUGGACAAUGGGCGCAAGCCUGAUCCAGCAAUGCCGCGUGCAGGAUGAAGGCCUUCGGGUUGUAAACUGCUUUUGUACGGAACGAAAAGCCCCGGGUUAAUACCCUGGGGUCAUGACGGUACCGUAAGAAUAAGCACCGGCUAACUACGUGCCAGCCGCCGCGGUAA
Molecule: ribosomal RNA, 498 nt
Filed under: uncultured bacterium
Lineage: Bacteria
Description: partial 16S ribosomal RNA
Rfam family: Bacterial small subunit ribosomal RNA
Source: RNAcentral